AUUAUUCUCUCCUAGCCCUCUGUAUACUGUAUACUUCCUUGCUCAUUCUCUCUCUUUCUGUGACACUAUGAAGAAUUAUGUAAACUUCUGGCUUUCUUGGCAGCUCUCAAGUUUAACGUGACCUCUAAAAUAUACCACAUGACACAAAAUUCAAGGACUCCAUAACACUCCCUAUAAGUAACAUCAUCUGGCUCCCUCAUCACCACUGCAUCCACUCUCCACAGUCUGGGGCUUUGCAGCUAUUGUGUCACACCAAUCCUGUGUACACUGUACACCUGAGAAGGACACUGACAAACCGAUGUGCUAUGCCUCUGCUUUUAUGGAGGGGUCAGAGUAAGAUUGACUUAGUGUAAGUCUUGAUCGAAUUGCUAGGAAAGAAGACCAGCAUGACACUUGGGAUUGCAGCGAGCACUGCGCUCCAGAGCAACUGGCACAAGGGACGUUGACAAACACCUACAUAUGUGACCUGUGUCUAACAUCCCCCUUAGGGAUUUUCAAGAAACAUGAAAAUGGCUUGGGCCCCUUUUGACCUGAGAGCCUUGGUCAACAUCAUGAACGAGCUUCUCUGGUGACUGCUCACAACUCGUUUGGCACUUACUCCUGUUAUGCCACCAUGAAAAUCUAUUCUAUAUUGGUGUGUCCCGUGCCUACAGAAUUCAUGUUUUAGAGAGCUGAAGCUGUCAAACAAGUAAUCCAUAGAUGAAAAUUUCACAUUCUGCAUCUGAUGCUUUCAAUAUCUGAAUUGUUUCAGGCAUCUCAGGGCACUGCCAACCUGGGGCUUCUCUGAAAUAAAUCCCAGUUUGAGGUUUCUCAAGACUUACAUAUUUUGUGAAUUCUGCCAACACAUUUAAGGAGUACAGCUGUAAAAGAGAGCAGAGAAAUGGAACAGUAGCUCUGAGGAAUGUGGAUCAAGACAAGUUAUUUUUUAAUGGGAAAUGCCGUAGCAAUUGUUUAUGCCAAUGAGAAUAAUUCAUAAGAAAAAGGAAGAAGAAAAAAACAAGGAGGAAAUAAAAAGGAAACAAGUGUAAAGCAGCACCAAGAACCAACUUGAGGGAGAAAGAUGAGCAACUUCAGAUGUUAAAGUGUAAAACACCUCACUCAUCUCAGGACCUUGAAGUCUAAUUCACGAUGACAGCAGCAACAACAACACGUCAUUGCGUUAAAUUCCUGAGUUCAAGAGUAUAAUCAGUGGUCCUAAGGAGGUUUUUACGGUGUUACGACAGAGAAUGUGAGUGAAAGGAAAUCUGCCAGUGGAAGAUUUAAGGAACGGUUCUCUGAGCAGGAGACACUUAACAGAAAUUAACUUUCUUCGAUUUAAUGUCAUUUUUUAAUGAUUGACUCUGUUUGAGGUAGGAAGCCAGAGGAGAAUGUGACUUCCUGAUUUCACAAAACUUCUUCCCUUCCAGCCCCGCCUGAGAUCACAGUCAUGUCCAGUGGCACAAUCAACAGCAAGACCAGUGAGAUUCAAAGCAUAGGCAUCUCUCGUGUCCAUCAUUUUCACAAAUUUGAAUUCCUUACAGUUAGUUGUAGUCUCAAUCUCCAUAUAGCAUAGAAUUGUGGUUGAUGUUAAAUAAAUAUU
RNAcentral lists this long non-coding RNA (1579 nucleotides) under Equus caballus (horse). Its description in RNAcentral is "lncRNA (ENSECAG00000055221.1)". Lineage: Eukaryota; Metazoa; Chordata; Mammalia; Perissodactyla; Equidae. The record is from RNAcentral.